This is a long non-coding RNA of Vitis vinifera (wine grape), 2491 nucleotides long. RefSeq lists it as uncharacterized. The transcript is spliced from 5 exons. NCBI's taxonomy places the organism in Eukaryota, Viridiplantae, Streptophyta, Magnoliopsida, Vitales, Vitaceae. The record is from RefSeq and is a predicted model, not a curated record.
GGAUGUAGCACCACAAGCCUCAGAAGAAAUACGACCACGAAGAGUAAAAAUGAAAGUACGUCAUCAUAGGCAACGAGCAGUUGCGUGCAAGUCACAUUUUGUACAAUUAUGUGUAUCAAAAUAUAAAAGGUUGACGAAGGAAGAGACACAUGUUGCCGACUAUGUGUUUGACGAGUCAAAAGAUCCUAGUGAGAUGCUUUGUGCAUAUGGUGGCUAUGGCGUGACACGGGAACAACUUCAAUGCUUAGUAGGGGAGAACUUCAUUGAUAUUCCGGUAAGGUUUAUGAUAAAUAAGAAAAAAUACCUUCAUCUUUCCAUUGAUCAUUUUAACUAAUGAAGAGGCAUUAUGUAGGUGAUUUCCAUGUUUUGUCGAUACAUGAAUGCAAAAGAAGAGAAUCCUUCUCGCAGACACUUUUUUAAUCCAUACUUUGGGGAAAUAUGUGGUUCAAUGAGCAAGUCUACCUCAAAAUCAACACUCAAGAAAAGAUUAGGUAGCUAUUGUGUUAAUCUUGAAUGUUGCAACCAGGUAAUGCUUGACUAUUGUAUUGAUUACAUAGAUUGAUGACAAUUUUUUAAUAAUUUUGAAUUUAUAUUUCAAAUAUUUAAGCCUUCAUUGUUGUUAUGAUGAUUGUCUGUUUUGUAGUUUUAUAUCCUCUUAUUCCAAUUUAAUGAAUGGGUGAUCAUGGUAAUCAAUUUGGAGGCUAAAAGGGUUGAUCUACUUUCAUCAUAUAAUAGCAUUCAACGUGUUCACUUUGUUAAUGAAGCUUUCAAAGUAGUUGGAUUUAUGUCGCAGUUAUUAAAAAAUUCCUUCAAAUGGAAUGAUGUGAAUAUAAAGAAUUUACAUCCACAGUAUGCAGAUAUCGUUGGCGAUCCAAAAUUAUGUCAUACUGGGAUGUAUGCUAUUCUCUAUAUGCAACAUUGGGAUGGAAGUGGUCUUAAUAAAAUCAUUAAUUCUGUAAGUUGUUAAAUAUGAUGUUAUGUUUUUAUUUUCAAAUGUACAUGUUAAAUGUUACCGGGAUGUAGGGUCUAACAUAAGUUUAAUGUGUAGGAAUGCAUGAGCCUUGAAAGAUUGAAAUUUGCAACUCAUAUGGUUCUUGAUAGCGAAAAUGAAAUUGGUGAAAUGGUUACAACUAAUAUUUGGUCAACCAACGAUGCAAAAUAGUAUUGGGUAACCUUCACAAUUAAUUUCUUUUGUUUUAUUUCAUUCAAUUUUUUAACUAUACAUUCAAAUUUAAACUUCAACUUGGUCAUCGAUAGUGAAUAAUAGAUUUUGAGGCUAUGUCAUGUCUUUUUUAUGGUACAAUAGAAGGGAUAAGUUAUCAAGACUGCUUCCAAUGCAUGUAUGGUUCAUUUGACUACUAGGUUAGGUGCUAUCUCCUCCCUAUAUAUAUAAAACUAUAGUAAAUGACAUUUUUAUUUUUUAAGGUUAUAUUAUUGACAAUUUCUUUAUGCUUCCAUAAAUCGUUUAUGCUAUUCUAUAUAACCUGUUUAAAUCAGUUGAUAAUAUUGUAAUGACAUGGUCUGGUUGCUUAAACUUAUCCCCAAUUUUCUAUGUUUAUGUAUAAUCAUGAGCUAAUUAUUAGAUAAUUUAACAACCCUGUAAACCAAUUUGGUCAAAUGGCUGUAUUUUCUGUUUAGCUGAAAGAAUCCUUGUUACCAUCUUAUUGUGGGUUUGGCUGUCUCGCAUCUAUAAAGCAAUUGAUACUAAACUUAGUUUAGAGUGAUUUUUGAUGGUUAGGCAUUUAAUAAGACAAAGGAUGACUUGUUCCUGCAUUAAUAUUUCCUAGGGGAGUGUUGUGGAAGGAACCCUCUAAAAGAAUAAGUUCCUUCAUUACUCAUAAGCUUUAUAGGUUUUUAUUAUGUUUUAUUUACAUCUUGUGGUUAACUGUACUUCUCUUAUCUUUAGGAGGUCACUGAUAAGUUGAUUGAAGAGGAUGAAUUUGAUGCAGAUCAAAAGGAUGCAUUUAAGGUGAUCUGUAAUUGAUGAUAUGCAUGUAACUGAUUGCUUUUACAUGUAAUUAACCAUACCAUGAACUUAAAUUGUUUUGGUUGCUCAGAAUUUUGUCAAAGACAAUGUCUGGGAGGCAAAAAAAGCCAAUAGACAGGUAUUUUAUAGCAGAUACCAAUCGUUGCAAUAGUUUUGGUCUUGCACAUAAAUUUCAAAUAUGUUGAGUACUUGUCAAUUCCUUUUCUUGUAGGCUAGAGAAGCCUGAAAAAAGGCCUUGCAGAAAUGAGUUAGUACACUAAAGCAGCAUUUGAAAACAUGAAGUUUAACAAGUUCUACUUAGUCCAGACCGAUGAUACUCCUGACAUAUCAAAUGUUAAGGCACCGUUUAUAAACAGGUAUUAUGGGAAAGCUCAUGAAGUUCUGUGAUUGGGCUCAUCAACCACCAGUAUUUCUACUGCAAAAGAUGCCAAUUGAUUUGCAUUGGGGACUAUAGCUAGCUAUUGAUUCUAGGAUAUGUUUCAUGAUGAAAGUUCAUAAUGGAAC